GCCCCGUUAGCUCAGUCGGUAGAGCAUCAGGCUUUUAACCUGAGGGCCGUGGGUUCGAAAACCCCACGGAGGUA
This is a non-coding RNA of Exocentrus adspersus, 74 nucleotides long. NCBI's taxonomy places the organism in Eukaryota, Metazoa, Arthropoda, Insecta, Coleoptera, Cerambycidae. The record is from the annotation of a GenBank genome assembly.